GUCCGGGUGGCCUAAUGGUAAGGCAUAGCUCUCCUAAAGCUGGGAUUGCGGGUUCAACUCCCGCCUCGGAUG
This is a transfer RNA of Enterospora canceri, 72 nucleotides long. It matches the Rfam family "tRNA". Rfam says of the family: Transfer RNA (tRNA) molecules are approximately 80 nucleotides in length. Their secondary structure includes four short double-helical elements and three loops (D, anti-codon, and T loops). Lineage: Eukaryota; Fungi; Microsporidia; Enterocytozoonidae. The record is from Rfam.